CAGGGAUUGCCCUAGUAACGGCGAGUGAAGCGGCAACAGCUCAAAUUUGAAAGCUGGCUCCGGCCCGCAUUGUAAUUUGCAGAGGAUGCUUUUGGUGAGGUGCCUUCCGAGUUCCCUGGAACGGGACGCCACAGAGGGUGAGAGCCCCGUAUGGAUGGACACCAAACCUGUGUAAAGCUCCUUCAACGAGUCGAGUAGUUUGGGAAUGCUGCUCAAAAUGGGAGGUAAAUCUCUUCUAAAGCUAAAUACCGGCCAGAGACCGAUAGCGCACAAGUAGAGUGAUCGAAAGAUGAAAAGCACCUUGAAAAGGGGGUUAAACAGUACGUGAAAUUGUUGAAAGGGAAGCGUUUAUGACCAGACUUGCGUCGGGCAGCUCAUCAGGGGUUCUCCCCUGUGCACUCUGCCCGGCUCAGGCCAGCAUCGGUUCUCGUGGGAGGAUAAGAACGGUAGGAACGUGGCCCCCUCUCGGGGGGGUGUUAUAGCCUGCCGUACGAUACUCCCGUGGGGACCGAGGUUCGCGCUCCGCAAGGAUGCUGGCGUAAUGGUCAUCAACGACCCGUCUUGAAACACGGACCAAGGAGUCGUCCAUUAGAGCGAGCGUUUGGGUGUAAAACCCGCACGCGUAAUGAAAGUGAACGCAGGUGAGAGCUUCGGCGCAUCAUCGACCGAUCCUGAUGUUCUCGGAUGGAUUUGAGUAAGAGUUUUAACGGACGGACCCGAAAGACAGUGAACUAUGCUUGUAUAGGGUGAAGCCAGAGGAAACUCUGGUGGAGGCUCGCAGCGGUUCUGACGUGCAAAUCGAUCGUCAAAUAUGAGCAUGGGGGCGAAAGACUAAUCGAACUGUCUAGUAGCUGGUUACCGCCGAAG
RNAcentral lists this ribosomal RNA (867 nucleotides) under Cytospora thailandica. RNAcentral's name for it is "partial large subunit ribosomal RNA". It matches the Rfam family "Eukaryotic large subunit ribosomal RNA", at positions 69 to 966 of the family's 3401-position model. The record is from RNAcentral. Lineage: Eukaryota; Fungi; Ascomycota; Sordariomycetes; Diaporthales; Cytosporaceae.